Molecule: ribosomal RNA, 497 nt
Filed under: uncultured bacterium
Lineage: Bacteria
Description: partial 16S ribosomal RNA
Rfam family: Bacterial small subunit ribosomal RNA
Source: RNAcentral
GAUGAACGCUGGCGGCGUGCCUAAUACAUGCAAGUCGAGCGAACAGACGAGGAGCUUGCUCCUCUGACGUUAGCGGCGGACGGGUGAGUAACACGUGGAUAACCUACCUAUAAGACGGGGAUAACUUCGGGAAACCGGAGCUAAUACCGGAUAAUAAAUUGAACCGCAUGGUUCAAUAGUGAAAGACGGUUUUGCUGUCACGUAUAGAUGGAUCCGCGCCGCAUUAGCUAGUUGGUAAGGUAACGGCUUACCAAGGCAACGAUGCGUAGCCGACCUGAGAGGGUGAUCGGCCACACUGGAACUGAGACGCGGUCCAUACUCCUACGGGAGGCCGCAGUAGGGAAUCUUCCGCAAUGGGCGAAAGCCUGACGGAGCGACGCCGCGUGAGUGAUGAAGGUCUUCGGAUCGUAAAACUCUGUUAUUAGUGAAGAACCAAUGUGUAAGUAACUAUGCACGUCUUGACGGUACCUAAUCAGAAAGCCCCGGCUAACUACGUG